AAUCCAUAGGUUAAUGAGGCGAACCGGGGGAACUGAAACAUCUAAGUACCCCGAGGAAAAGAAAUCAACCGAGAUUCCCCCAGUAGCGGCGAGCGAACGGGGAGGAGCCCAGAGCCUGAAUCAGCAUGUGUGUUAGUGGAAGCGUCUGGAAAGGCGCGCGAUACAGGGUGACAGCCCCGUACACAAAAGCGCAUGUGCUGUGAGCUCGAUGAGUAGGGCGGGACACGUGGUAUCCUGUCUGAAUAUGGGGGGACCAUCCUCCAAGGCUAAAUACUCCUGACUGACCGAUAGUGAACCAGUACCGUGAGGGAAAGGCGAAAAGAACCCCGGCGAGGGGAGUGAAAAAGAACCUGAAACCGUGUACGUACAAGCAGUGGGAGCACCCUUCGGGGUGUGACUGCGUACCUUUUGUAUAAUGGGUCAGCGACUUAUAUUCUGUAGCAAGGUUAACCGUAUAGGGGAGCCGGAGGGAAACCGAGUCUUAAUUGGGCGUUAAGUUGCAGGGUAUAGACCCGAAACCCGGUGAUCUAGCCAUGGGCAGGUUGAAGGUUGGGUAACACUAACUGGAGGACCGAACCGACUAAUGUUGAAAAAUUAGCGGAUGACCUGUGGCUGGGGGUGAAAGGCCAAUCAAACCGGGAGAUAGCUGGUUCUCCCCGAAAGCUAUUUAGGUAGCGCCUCGUGAAUUCAUCUCCGGGGGUAGAGCACUGUUUCGGCUAGGGGGCCAUCCCGGCUUACCAACCCGAUGCAAACUGCGAAUACCGGAGAAUGUUAUCACGGGAGACACACGGCGGGUGCUAACGUCCGUCGUGAAGAGGGAAACAACCCAGACCGCCAGCUAAGGUCCCAAAGUCAUGGUUAAGUGGGAAACGAUGUGGGAAGGCCCAGACAGCCAGGAUGUUGGCUUAGAAGCAGCCAUCAUUUAAAGAAAGCGUAAUAGCUCACUGGUCGAGUCGGCCUGCGCGGAAGAUGUAACGGGGCUAAACCAUGCACCGAAGCUGCGGCAGCGAACGUAUCACCCAAGACAACUUUACGGAGUUGACGAUUGACGGAGCGAAGCGACGUCAAAGCGUUCAUUAAAGUCGAGUUGGCUUAGGGAUACGUUCGUUGGGUAGGGGAGCGUUCUGUAAGCCUGUGAAGGUGUGUCGUGAGGCAUGCUGGAGGUAUCAGAAGUGCGAAUGCUGACAUAAGUAACGAUAAAGCGGGUGAAAAGCCCGCUCGCCGGAAGACCAAGGGUUCCUGUCCAACGUUAAUCGGGGCAGGGUGAGUCGACCCCUAAGGCGAGGCCGAAAGGCGUAGUCGAUGGGAAACGGGUUAAUAUUCCCGUACUUGGUGUUACUGCGAAGGGGGGACGGAGAAGGCUAUGUUGGCCGGGCGACGGUUGUCCCGGUUUAAGCGUGUAGGUGUGUGUUCCAGGUAAAUCCGGUUCACUUUAACACUGAGGCGUGACGACGAGGCACUACGGUGCUGAAGCAACAAAUGCCCUGCUUCCAGGAAAAGCCUCUAAGCAUCAGGUAACACGAAAUCGUACCCCAAACCGACACAGGUGGUCAGGUAGAGAAUACCAAGGCGCUUGAGAGAACUCGGGUGAAGGAACUAGGCAAAAUGGUGCCGUAACUUCGGGAGAAGGCACGCUGACACGUAGGUGAAGUGAUUUACUCAUGGAGCUGAAGUCAGUCGAAGAUACCAGCUGGCUGCAACUGUUUAUUAAAAACACAGCACUGUGCAAACACGAAAGUGGACGUAUACGGUGUGACGCCUGCCCGGUGCCGGAAGGUUAAUUGAUGGGGUCAGCGUAAGCGAAGCUCCUGAUCGAAGCCCCGGUAAACGGCGGCCGUAACUAUAACGGUCCUAAGGUAGCGAAAUUCCUUGUCGGGUAAGUUCCGACCUGCACGAAUGGCGUAAUGAUGGCCAGGCUGUCUCCACCCGAGACUCAGUGAAAUUGAACUCGCUGUGAAGAUGCAGUGUACCCGCGGCAAGACGGAAAGACCCCGUGAACCUUUACUAUAGCUUGACACUGAACAUUGAGCCUUGAUGUGUAGGAUAGGUGGGAGGCUUUGAAGUGUGGACGCCAGUCUGCAUGGAGCCGACCUUGAAAUACCACCCUUUAAUGUUUGAUGUUCUAACGUGGACCCGUAAUCCGGGUUGCGGACAGUGUCUGGUGGGUAGUUUGACUGGGGCGGUCUCCUCCUAAAGAGUAACGGAGGAGCACGAAGGUUGGCUAAUCCUGGUCGGACAUCAGGAGGUUAGUGCAAUGGCAUAAGCCAGCUUGACUGCGAGCGUGACGGCGCGAGCAGGUGCGAAAGCAGGUCAUAGUGAUCCGGUGGUUCUGAAUGGAAGGGCCAUCGCUCAACGGAUAAAAGGUACUCCGGGGAUAACAGGCUGAUACCGCCCAAGAGUUCAUAUCGACGGCGGUGUUUGGCACCUCGAUGUCGGCUCAUCACAUCCUGGGGCUGAAGUAGGUCCCAAGGGUAUGGCUGUUCGCCAUUUAAAGUGGUACGCGAGCUGGGUUUAGAACGUCGUGAGACAGUUCGGUCCCUAUCUGCCGUGGGCGCUGGAGAACUGAGGGGGGCUGCUCCUAGUACGAGAGGACCGGAGUGGACGCAUCACUGGUGUUCGGGUUGUCAUGCCAAUGGCACUGCCCGGUAGCUAAAUGCGGAAGAGAUAAGUGCUGAAAGCAUCUAAGCACGAAACUUGCCCCGAGAUGAGUUCUCCCUGAGACUUAGAGUCUCCUGAAGGAACGUUGAAGACGACGACGUUGAUAGGCCGGGUGUGUAAGCGCAGCGAUGCGUUGAGCUAACCGGUACUAAUGAACCGUGAGGCUUAACCUUACA
Molecule: ribosomal RNA, 2834 nt
Filed under: Salmonella enterica
Lineage: Bacteria; Pseudomonadati; Pseudomonadota; Gammaproteobacteria; Enterobacterales; Enterobacteriaceae
Also listed under: 1 other name
Description: partial 23S ribosomal RNA
Rfam family: Bacterial large subunit ribosomal RNA
Source: RNAcentral